Molecule: ribosomal RNA, 428 nt
Filed under: uncultured bacterium
Lineage: Bacteria
Description: partial 16S ribosomal RNA
Rfam family: Bacterial small subunit ribosomal RNA
Source: RNAcentral
GUAGGGAAUAUUGGACAAUGGGGGCAACCCUGAUCCAGCGACGCCGCGUGAGUGAUGAAGGCCUUCGGGUCGUAAAGCUCUGUUGCAGGGGAAGAACACAAUGACGGUACCCUGCUAGAAAGGAUCGGCUAACUUCGUGCCAGCAGCCGCGGUAAGACGAGGGAUCCUAGCGUUGUUCGGAAUUAUUGGGCGUAAAGCGGGUGCAGGUGGCUUGGUAAGUCAGAUGUGAAAGCCGGGGGGUUAACCCCAGAAGUGCAUUUGAUACUGCUGAGCUUGAGUGCUGGAGAGGCUAUUAGAAUUCCUGGUGUAGUGGUGAAAUACGUAGAUAUCAGGAGGAAUACCGGAGGCGAAGGCGGAUAGCUGGCCAGACACUGACACUCAGACCCGAAAGCGUGGGGAUCAAACAGGAUUAGAAACCCGAGUAGUCC